CACCGCGCCCCGCCUCCCUCCCUCGAGCCUCACUCGCGCCCAGCGCCCUCACUCCAAGCGGCCGCCGGGCCGAGCGCCCGAGCCGCCCGAGCCGCUGCCAGCCGCGCCGGGACCGAUAGAUAAGGAGCUGAGUCAGGCAAGGGCGGAAUGACGCUCAUUGAUUCCAAAGCAUCUUUAAUCUGCCAGGCAGACAGGCCUUUGCUGCUGGUCUUUCUUGGACCAUUCCAGAGAGGACAACUGGUGUCUGAGAAGUGAAAAAGCAGGAUGCCCCCUGGGGUUGACUGCCCCAUGGAAUUCUGGACCAAGGAGGAGAAUCAGAGCGUGGCUGUUGACUUCCUGCUGCCCACGGGGGUCUAUCUGAACUUCCCUGUGUCCCGAAAUGCCAACCUCAGCACCAUCAAGAAGGUGUUGUGGCACCGAGCCCAGUAUGAGCCACUCUUCCACAUGCUCAGUGACCCCGAGGCCUAUGUGUUCACCUGCGUCAACCAGACUGCGGAGCAGCAGGAGCUGGAGGACGAGCAGCGGCGGCUGUGUGACAUCCAGCCCUUCCUGCCGGUUCUGCGCCUGGUGGCCCGCGAGGGCGACAGGGUGAAGAAGCUCAUCAACUCGCAGAUCAGCCUUGUCAUCGGCAAAGGCCUCCAUGAGUUUGACUCCUUGCGUGACCCAGAAGUGAAUGACUUUCGCACCAAGAUGCGCCAGUUCUGUGAGGAGGCCGCUGCCCGCCGGCAACAGCUGGGCUGGGAGGCCUGGCUACAGUACAGCUUUCCCCUGCAGCUGGAGCCCUUGGCGGGAAACUGGGGAGCCAGCACCCUACGGUUCCCCAGCCGGGCCCUUCUGGUCAACGUCAAGUUCGAGGGCAGUGAGGAGAGCUUCACCUUCCAGGUGUCCACCAAGGACGUGCCCCUGGCACUGAUGGCCUGUGCCCUCCGGAAGAAGGCCACGGUGUUCCGGCAGCCCCUGGUGGAGCAGCCCGAGGACUACACGCUGCAGGUGAACGGGAGACUCGAGUACCUGUACGGCAGCUACCCCCUCUGCCGCUUCCAGUACAUCUGCAGCUGCCUGCACAGCGGGCUGACCCCUCAUCUGACCAUGGUGCACUCCUCCUCCAUCCUCGCCAUGCGGGACGAACAGAGCAACCCCACCCCCCAAGUCCAAAAACCGCGCACCAAACCGCCCCCCAUUCCCGUGAAGAAGCCCUCCUCUGUGUCCCUGUGGUCCCUGGAGCAGCCGUUCUGCGUCGAGCUCAUCCAGGGCAGCAAAGUGAACGCAGAUGAGCGGAUGAAGCUGGUGGUGCAGGCUGGGCUUUUCCAUGGUAAUGAGACGCUCUGCAAGACGGUGUCCAGCUCGGAGGUGAGCGUGUGCUCAGAGCCUGUGUGGAAACAGCGGCUGGAGUUUGACAUCAACGUCUGCGAUCUGCCGCGCAUGGCCCGUCUCUGCUUUGCACUUUACGCCGUGAUUGAGAAGGCCAAGAAGGCUCGCUCCACCAAGAAGAAGUCCAAGAAGGCGGACUGCCCCAUUGCCUGGGCCAACCUCAUGCUGUUUGACUACAAGGACCAGCUCAAGACUGGGGAAUGCUGCCUCUACAUGUGGCCCUCCGUCCCAGAUGAGAAAGGGGAGCUGCUGAACCCCACGGGAACCGUGCGCAAUAACCCCAACACUGAGAGCGCUGCCGCCCUGGUCAUCUCCCUCCCCGAGGUGGCCCCCCACCCCGUGUACUACCCUGCCCUUGACAAGAUCUUGGAGCUGGGGCGGCCCGGGGAGCAUGGGCGCUUCACCGAGGAGGAGCAGCUGCAGCUGCGGGAGAUCCUGGAGCGGCGGGGGUCCGGGGAGCUGUAUGAGCAUGAGAAGGACCUGGUGUGGAAGAUGCGACACGAGGUCCAGGAGCACUUCCCCGAGGCACUGGCCCGGCUGCUGCUGGUCACCAAGUGGAACAAGCAUGAGGACGUGGCCCAGAUGCUCUACCUGCUGUGCUCCUGGCCUGAGCUGCCUGUGCUGAGCGCCCUGGAGCUGCUGGACUUCAGCUUCCCCGACCGCCACGUGGGCUCCUUCGCCAUCAAGUCCCUGCGGAAACUGACGGACGACGAGCUUUUCCAGUACCUGCUGCAGCUGGUGCAGGUGCUUAAGUACGAGUCCUACCUCGACUGUGAGCUGACCAAAUUCCUGCUGGACCGGGCCCUGGCCAACCGCAAGAUCGGCCACUUCCUCUUCUGGCACCUCCGGUCCGAGAUGCACGUGCCGUCGGUGGCCCUGCGCUUCGGCCUCAUCAUGGAGGCGUACUGCAGGGGCAGCACCCACCACAUGAAGGUGCUGAUGAAGCAGGGGGAAGCACUGAGCAAACUGAAGGCCCUGAACGACUUUGUCAAAGUGAGCUCCCAGAAGGCCACCAAGCCCCACACCAAGGAGCUGAUGCACCUGUGCAUGCGCCAGGAGACCUACCUGGAGGCCCUCUCCCACCUGCAGUCGCCGCUCGACCCCAGCAUCCUGCUGGCUGAAGUCUGUGUGGAGCAGUGCACCUUCAUGGACUCCAAGAUGAAGCCCCUGUGGGUCAUGUACAGCAACGAGGAGGCGGGCAGCGAUGGCAGCGUGGGCAUCAUAUUUAAGAACGGGGAUGACCUCCGCCAGGACAUGCUGACUCUGCAGAUGAUCCAGCUCAUGGACGUUCUGUGGAAGCAGGAGGGGUUGGACCUGAGGAUGACCCCCUAUGGCUGCCUCUCCACCGGGGACCGCACGGGCCUCAUCGAGGUGGUGCUUCACUCAGACACCAUUGCCAACAUCCAGCUGAACAAGAGCAACAUGGCAGCCACGGCCGCCUUCAACAAGGAUGCCCUGCUCAACUGGCUCAAGUCUAAGAACCCUGGGGAGGCCCUGGAACGAGCUAUUGAGGAGUUCACCCUCUCCUGCGCUGGCUACUGUGUGGCCACAUACGUGCUGGGCAUCGGUGAUCGGCACAGCGACAACAUCAUGAUCCGCGAGAAUGGGCAGUCUCUGCCCUUCCCUCCCCUUAGCUGUUCCACAUUGAUUUUGGCCACUUUCUGGGGAAUUUCAAGACCAAGUUUGGAAUCAACCGUGAGCGAGUCCCAUUCAUCCUCACCUAUGACUUUGUCCAUGUGAUCCAGCAGGGGAAGACUAAUAAUAGUGAGAAAUUCGAAAGGUUCCGGGGCUACUGUGAGAGGGCCUACACCAUCCUGCGGCGCCACGGGCUGCUCUUCCUGCACCUCUUCGCCCUGAUGCGGGCGGCCGGCCUGCCUGAGCUCAGCUGCUCUAAAGACAUCCAAUAUCUCAAGGACUCUCUGGCCUUGGGAAAAACGGAGGAGGAGGCUCUGAAGCACUUCCGAGUGAAGUUUAACGAAGCGCUCCGGGAGAGCUGGAAGACCAAAGUGAAUUGGCUGGCCCACAACGUGUCCAAAGACAACAGGCAAUAGCAGCCCUGCCUCCCGGCGGCACACCGGCCCCGCCGAGCCAACCGUGCAUCCUGGGAACCAGGCACCCUCCGCUGCCCUUCGGGGCCUGGAAGCCUGAACUGCACCCCAUGGGAAAGAACCUACACAACUGCCUUUUGUUUACACUGGUUAUUUAUUUAUGACUUGAAAUGUUUCAGGAACUAAACAGCCAUAAACGGUAAUGCAUCCUUUGUGCAGGGGAGGGGUGCUGUGCUCCAGGGGCCCCGGUCAGAGCCCUGGCCUUGGAGGAGAAGACACUGUGAACUGGGCACCUCAAGGCUGCAUCUGCUGAGGAUUGUAAUCCCAAGUCUUCCAGCUGGCAGAUCUGGACCCAGCAAGGAAUAUUUUCCCCACCGGGGAGCCUGCCUUCUUCCCAGGCUCCAGCCGGGCUGUACAGUCUCGGCGCCGACAGCUACCUGGUGCCCGCUGUGCGGACAGGGCGCCGGCGCCUCCUCUGCUCACCCCUCCCUCACGCUCUCCGCUGAGCUCUGGGCAGCUCCCAGAGCAAACCUGGGUACUCUCUAGAUUCAGGGAUGCUUGCUCCCCACUUUCAGAGUGACUCUUGGGUACAGGAAUUCUUUCAUCUCUGCUAUAAAGUGAUUUUGUUUGCGGGUAAGAAAAAAAAUAGCCAGACUACUUACUGAACCUCUGUGGCUCGGGAGAACAGCCCUGGGCCCCUGAAGUAGAAUAGAUGCUGGUCCUCAAGACACAUUACAGAGAUGGGAGCUUGAUGCAGCUCAUCCUGGUCAUGGGUCAAGGUGAAAGCAGGUCAGAGUACUUUGUGCAAUAUCUGUAACCUGCCUCUUAAGGCAGGUUUUAAGUGAGGAGGAACCUGAUCUCCUCAUCCAGAACGCUCUCCUUUGAGAACCUGCCGUGAAUAAUCAGGUACCAGAAGUGUGAGUUAGGUGUGCGGUGGAAUCUUUUUCUCUGACGGGUCUUAUCUUGAAACGGUUCAGGCUUCAGUUUAGGUGGAUCUGAGGAGCUCCAGAAAUGCAGGUUCCUGGGCCCCUCCCAGCCUUCUGAAGCCACUCUGGAGACGGGCUAGGAGUCUGGGCUUUGAGAAGCCCACUGGAGAGCCUGACGUAUUAGCAGCCAAGCCGGACCUGCCGGGCUACACUGCUUAUCCCUCAAAGGUCCUGCAGGGCCCGGAAGAGCCAGCAGCCACUCCCCACUCAACAGCCCGGGUGCCAGUUCUUUUUCGGUCAGAGGCAGCCAAGCAGACACAGUCUGUCAGCAGUGAGUGCCACCCACAGAGCACCACUGACCGCACUCCUGUUCCCAACCAGCGCUGAAUUCAUGAGCCCCACCUGGCCUGUUUGGAAACAGGGAAAGCCAAGUGUAUGUCUAUACUGUAUGUUAUUUAUUUAAGUGAGUCUGUGUGCUUCCUGGCGUGGGCAGCACACUUGGCACAUACACAACAAUUUCAGGUCUGGGUGCACGGCCUGUGUGCCUGACCAGAAGCAUAUUUUCUAUGUUCUAACGUCAUUUACUGUUUCUGUAUGGGGAAGGCGAGUUCAACAUACCUGAUGAUGGCUGAGACCAGCACUCUGUGAAACCUUGAGAGCUAAAAGUAGAUUAAAAGAAAUAAAAGCCUUUUUAUGUUA
This is an RNA transcript of Equus caballus (horse), 5044 nucleotides long. It is a transcript of the gene named phosphatidylinositol-4,5-bisphosphate 3-kinase catalytic subunit delta, with no coding region annotated. Lineage: Eukaryota; Metazoa; Chordata; Mammalia; Perissodactyla; Equidae. The record is from RefSeq and is a predicted model, not a curated record.